RNAcentral lists this ribosomal RNA (720 nucleotides) under uncultured bacterium. RNAcentral's name for it is "bacterial SSU rRNA". It matches the Rfam family "Bacterial small subunit ribosomal RNA", at positions 61 to 779 of the family's 1533-position model. The record is from RNAcentral.
GUCGAACGAAGCACUGAAAGCAGAUUACUUCGGUAGGAAGCUAUCUUUGACUGACUGGCGGACGGGUGAGUAACGCGUGGGUAACCUGCCUCAUACAGGGGGAUAACAGUUAGAAAUGACUGCUAAUACCGCAUAAGCGCACGGGACUGCAUGGUCCAGUGUGAAAAACUCCGGUGGUAUGAGAUGGACCCGCGUCUGAUUAGCUAGUUGGUGGGGUAAGGGCUCACCAAGGCGACGAUCAGUAGCCGGCCUGAGAGGGUGACCGGCCACAUUGGGACUGAGACACGGCCCAAACUCCUACGGGAGGCAGCAGUGGGGAAUAUUGCACAAUGGGGGAAACCCUGAUGCAGCGACGCCGCGUGAAGGAAGAAGUAUUUCGGUAUGUAAACUUCUAUCAGCAGGGAAGAAAAUGACGGUACCUGACUAAGAAGCCCCGGCUAACUACGUGCCAGCAGCCGCGGUAAUACGUAGGGGGCAAGCGUUAUCCGGAUUUACUGGGUGUAAAGGGAGCGUAGGCGGUGAUGCAAGUCAGAAGUGAAAGCCCGCAGCUCAACUGCGGGACUGCUUUUGAAACUGUAUGACUAGAUUGCAGGAGAGGUAAGUGGAAUUCCUAGUGUAGCGGUGAAAUGCGUAGAUAUUAGGAGGAACACCAGUGGCGAAGGCGGCUUACUGGACUGUAAAUGACGCUGAGGCUCGAAAGCGUGGGGAGCAAACAGGAUU